This 253-nucleotide ribosomal RNA is filed under the name uncultured bacterium. RNAcentral's name for it is "partial 16S ribosomal RNA". It matches the Rfam family "Bacterial small subunit ribosomal RNA", at positions 524 to 776 of the family's 1533-position model. The record is from RNAcentral.
UACGUAGGGUCCGAGCGUUGUCCGGAAUUAUUGGGCGUAAAGGGCUCGUAGGCGGUUCGUCACGUCGGGAGUGAAAACUCGGAGCUUAACUCCGAGCCUGCUUCCGAUACGGGCAGACUAGAGGUAGGCAGGGGAGAGCGGAACUCCUGGUGUAGCGGUGGAAUGCGCAGAUAUCAGGAGGAACACCGGUGGCGAAGGCGGGUCUCUGGGCCGACACUGACGCUGAGGAGCGAAAGCGUGGGGAGCGAACAGG